This 497-nucleotide ribosomal RNA is filed under the name uncultured bacterium. RNAcentral describes it as "partial 16S ribosomal RNA". It matches the Rfam family "Bacterial small subunit ribosomal RNA", at positions 28 to 507 of the family's 1533-position model. The record is from RNAcentral.
GAUGAACGCUGGCGGCGUGCCUAAUACAUGCAAGUCGAACGAACGGACGAGACGCUUGCUUUUCUGAUGUUAGCGGCGGACGGGAGAGUAACACGUGGAUAACCUACCUAUAAGACUGGGAUAACUUCGGGAAACCGGCGCUAAUACCGGAUAAUAUUCUGAACCGCAUGGUUCAUAAGUAAAUUACGGUCUUGCUGUCUCUUAUAGCUGGUUCUCCGCUUCAUUGGCUGGUUGGUAAGUUCACGGCUUACGAAGGCAAGGAUGCAUAGCCGACCGGAGAGGGUGGUCGGCCACAUUGGAAGUGGACCGCGGUCAAGACUCCUACGGGAGGCAGCAGUAGGGAAUCUUCCGCAAUGGGCGAAAGCAUGACGGAGCAAGGCCGCGUGAGUGAUGAAGGUCUUCGGAUCGUAAAACUCUGUUAUUAGGGAAGAACAUAUGUGUAAGUAACUGUGCACAUCUUGACGGUACCUAAUCAGAAAGCCACGGCUAACUACGUG